This 2987-nucleotide ribosomal RNA is filed under the name Salmonella enterica subsp. enterica serovar Kentucky. RNAcentral describes it as "23S ribosomal RNA". It matches the Rfam family "Bacterial large subunit ribosomal RNA". Lineage: Bacteria; Pseudomonadati; Pseudomonadota; Gammaproteobacteria; Enterobacterales; Enterobacteriaceae. The record is from RNAcentral.
GGUUAAGCGACUAAGCGUACACGGUGGAUGCCCUGGCAGUCAGAGGCGAUGAAGGGCGUGCUAAUCUGCGAUAAGCGCCGGUAAGGUGAUAUGAACCGUUAUAACCGGCGAUACCCGAAUGGGGAAACCCAGUGUGAUUCGUCACACUAUCAUUAACUGAAUCCAUAGGUUAAUGAGGCGAACCGGGGGAACUGAAACAUCUAAGUACCCCGAGGAAAAGAAAUCAACCGAGAUUCCCCCAGUAGCGGCGAGCGAACGGGGAGGAGCCCAGAGCCUGAAUCAGCAUGUGUGUUAGUGGAAGCGUCUGGAAAGGCGCGCGAUACAGGGUGACAGCCCCGUACACAAAAGCGCAUGUGCUGUGAGCUCGAUGAGUAGGGCGGGACACGUGGUAUCCUGUCUGAAUAUGGGGGGACCAUCCUCCAAGGCUAAAUACUCCUGACUGACCGAUAGUGAACCAGUACCGUGAGGGAAAGGCGAAAAGAACCCCGGCGAGGGGAGUGAAAAAGAACCUGAAACCGUGUACGUACAAGCAGUGGGAGCACAGGUUUACCUGUGUGACUGCGUACCUUUUGUAUAAUGGGUCAGCGACUUAUAUUCUGUAGCAAGGUUAACCGAAUAGGGGAGCCGUAGGGAAACCGAGUCUUAACCGGGCGUUAAGUUGCAGGGUAUAGACCCGAAACCCGGUGAUCUAGCCAUGGGCAGGUUGAAGGUUGGGUAACACUAACUGGAGGACCGAACCGACUAAUGUUGAAAAAUUAGCGGAUGACCUGUGGCUGGGGGUGAAAGGCCAAUCAAACCGGGAGAUAGCUGGUUCUCCCCGAAAGCUAUUUAGGUAGCGCCUCGUGAACUCAUCUCCGGGGGUAGAGCACUGUUUCGGCUAGGGGGCCAUCCCGGCUUACCAACCCGAUGCAAACUGCGAAUACCGGAGAAUGUUAUCACGGGAGACACACGGCGGGUGCUAACGUCCGUCGUGAAGAGGGAAACAACCCAGACCGCCAGCUAAGGUCCCAAAGUCAUGGUUAAGUGGGAAACGAUGUGGGAAGGCCCAGACAGCCAGGAUGUUGGCUUAGAAGCAGCCAUCAUUUAAAGAAAGCGUAAUAGCUCACUGGUCGAGUCGGCCUGCGCGGAAGAUGUAACGGGGCUAAACCAUGCACCGAAGCUGCGGCAGCGAACGUAUCACUUAAAGCGAUUCAGCGGAUGACGAUUGACGGAGCGAAGCGACGUCAAAGCGUAUACAAAGUCGAGUCGGUUUAAGGAUACGUUCGUUGGGUAGGGGAGCGUUCUGUAAGCCUGUGAAGGUGGCCUGUGAGGGUUGCUGGAGGUAUCAGAAGUGCGAAUGCUGACAUAAGUAACGAUAAAGCGGGUGAAAAGCCCGCUCGCCGGAAGACCAAGGGUUCCUGUCCAACGUUAAUCGGGGCAGGGUGAGUCGACCCCUAAGGCGAGGCCGAAAGGCGUAGUCGAUGGGAAACAGGUUAAUAUUCCUGUACUUGGUGUUACUGCGAAGGGGGGACGGAGAAGGCUAUGUUGGCCGGGCGACGGUUGUCCCGGUUUAAGCGUGUAGGCUGGUUUUCCAGGCAAAUCCGGAAAAUCAAGGCUGAGGCGUGAUGACGAGGCACUACGGUGCUGAAGCAACAAAUGCCCUGCUUCCAGGAAAAGCCUCUAAGCAUCAGGUAACAUCAAAUCGUACCCCAAACCGACACAGGUGGUCAGGUAGAGAAUACCAAGGCGCUUGAGAGAACUCGGGUGAAGGAACUAGGCAAAAUGGUGCCGUAACUUCGGGAGAAGGCACGCUGACACGUAGGUGAAGUGAUUUACUCAUGGAGCUGAAGUCAGUCGAAGAUACCAGCUGGCUGCAACUGUUUAUUAAAAACACAGCACUGUGCAAACACGAAAGUGGACGUAUACGGUGUGACGCCUGCCCGGUGCCGGAAGGUUAAUUGAUGGGGUCAGCGCAAGCGAAGCUCCUGAUCGAAGCCCCGGUAAACGGCGGCCGUAACUAUAACGGUCCUAAGGUAGCGAAAUUCCUUGUCGGGUAAGUUCCGACCUGCACGAAUGGCGUAAUGAUGGCCAGGCUGUCUCCACCCGAGACUCAGUGAAAUUGAACUCGCUGUGAAGAUGCAGUGUACCCGCGGCAAGACGGAAAGACCCCGUGAACCUUUACUAUAGCUUGACACUGAACAUUGAGCCUUGAUGUGUAGGAUAGGUGGGAGGCUUUGAAGUGUGGACGCCAGUCUGCAUGGAGCCGACCUUGAAAUACCACCCUUUAAUGUUUGAUGUUCUAACGUGGACCCGUUACCCGGGUUGCGGACAGUGUCUGGUGGGUAGUUUGACUGGGGCGGUCUCCUCCUAAAGAGUAACGGAGGAGCACGAAGGUUGGCUAAUCCUGGUCGGACAUCAGGAGGUUAGUGCAAUGGCAUAAGCCAGCUUGACUGCGAGCGUGACGGCGCGAGCAGGUGCGAAAGCAGGUCAUAGUGAUCCGGUGGUUCUGAAUGGAAGGGCCAUCGCUCAACGGAUAAAAGGUACUCCGGGGAUAACAGGCUGAUACCGCCCAAGAGUUCAUAUCGACGGCGGUGUUUGGCACCUCGAUGUCGGCUCAUCACAUCCUGGGGCUGAAGUAGGUCCCAAGGGUAUGGCUGUUCGCCAUUUAAAGUGGUACGCGAGCUGGGUUUAGAACGUCGUGAGACAGUUCGGUCCCUAUCUGCCGUGGGCGCUGGAGAACUGAGGGGGGCUGCUCCUAGUACGAGAGGACCGGAGUGGACGCAUCACUGGUGUUCGGGUUGUCAUGCCAAUGGCACUGCCCGGUAGCUAAAUGCGGAAGAGAUAAGUGCUGAAAGCAUCUAAGCACGAAACUUGCCCCGAGAUGAGUUCUCCCUGAGACUUAGAGUCUCCUGAAGGAACGUUGAAGACGACGACGUUGAUAGGCCGGGUGUGUAAGCGCAGCGAUGCGUUGAGCUAACCGGUACUAAUGAACCGUGAGGCUUAACCUU